Molecule: non-coding RNA, 112 nt
Organism: Triticum aestivum (bread wheat)
Lineage: Eukaryota; Viridiplantae; Streptophyta; Magnoliopsida; Poales; Poaceae
Source: Rfam
AACCUACUCCCUCCGUUCAGAAUUACUUGUAGAAAUGAAUGUAUCUAGACGUAUUUUAGUUCUAAAUACAUCUAUUUUCGAGACAAGUAAUUCCGAACGGAGGGAGUACCAA